Long non-coding RNA from Homo sapiens (human), 1522 nucleotides. Ensembl annotates it as COL4A2 antisense RNA 2. Its record names the gene COL4A2-AS2. Lineage: Eukaryota; Metazoa; Chordata; Mammalia; Primates; Hominidae. The record is from Ensembl.
AGACACACAGAGAGGACAGAUGAUGAGAAGACAGAGAGAAGACAGCCGUCUAUAAGCCAAGGAAUGCCAGAGCUCCGGGAACCUGGGAGAGAGGCAGGGACAGAUCCUCCCGCACUGUCUCAGAAGGAACCAGCCCUGCAGACACCUUGAUGUCGGCUUUCAGCCUCCAGAGCUGUGAGACCAUACAUUUCUGAUGUCUAAGCUGCCCAGUCUGUGGCAGUUUGUGACCUCAGCCCCAGGAAACCAGUACAAAGAGCUUAAGGAGCUGAACCCAGGGAGUUGGGCAGCAAGGCAGCACCAUGCUGGCGGCAGGGGUUGGCUCCCCCAGGGCACAGAGGAUGCCCAGUGGGGAGGCCCCACUUCCUCCAGGUCCUGCGGUGCCUGCUCUCAGGUCAUGCCCAUCCACAGCGGGGUGCUGAAUGCACUGCACAUCCUACAUACGCCAAAACGGCCAAGACGUGCACAGGACUCAGCAUCAGGCUCACUGCUGCUAGGAAGUGCCACCGCCAAGGGGACAGGAGGCUGGGAGAGACAUGCAGGCUCAUUUUCAUGUCCAAACACCCCAAACAGGAAGCCUAGAGAGACAACCACAGAUGCAGGGCAUGAGCCCCACGGACGCCUGGGGUCCCACGCAGACGCAGGGCAUCAGCCCCACGGACGCCUGGGGUCCCACGCAGACGCAGGGCAUCAGCCCCACGGACGCCUGGGGUCCCACGCAGACGCAGGGCAUCAGCCCCACGGACGCCUGGGGUCCCACGCAGACGCACGGCAUCAGCCCCACGACGCCUGGGGUCCCACGCAGAUGCACGGCAUCAGCCCCACGGACGCCUGGGGUCCCACGCAGACGCAGGGCAUCAGCCCCACGGACGCCUGGGGUCCCACGCAGACGCAGGGCAUCAGCCCCACGGACGCCUGGGGUCCCACGCAGACGCAGGGCAUGAGCCCCACGGACGCCUGGGGUCCCACGCAGACGCAGGGCAUCAGCCCCACGGACGCCUGGGGUCCCACGCAGACGCACGGCAUCAGCCCCACGGACGCCUGGGGUCCCACGCAGACGCAGGGCAUCAGCCCCACGGACGCCUGGGGUUCCACGCAGACGCAGGGCAUCGGCACCAUGGGUGCCCGGCAUCCCACCCAGUUGUGAGGCACCAGCAUCAAGGAUGCCCAGGGUCCCCCCAGACACAGGGCAUGGGCACCACAGAGACGCCUGGUGUCCCACCCAGCCCAGGGUGGCUUUCAGCCAAGCCUCCCCAAAUGAUCCAUAAACCCAAUUUCAUAAACAAAAGCACAUUUUUUCAAAAGAAAACUUAGACUAUUUUGUGGCGAUAGCCUUCAGGGUUGGAAAGAAAUAUAAGAGUCUGCAAAUUUAGUUUUUCCAUUAAACUAUAGGGAUAACAAUUAUUCCUUUUGAGAAACAUUGAGUCCAAAGAAAAGUUUUGAUUUUUUGAUCAUGUAACUUGGAUUCCAAGACUGCUACACACUUCUGGUUCCCCCCCAAAAAACUAAAAAAAAGAUGAACUCA